Molecule: non-coding RNA, 466 nt
Organism: Misgurnus anguillicaudatus (oriental weatherfish)
Lineage: Eukaryota; Metazoa; Chordata; Actinopteri; Cypriniformes; Cobitidae
Source: RefSeq, a predicted model, not a curated record
CCCGACUCUCCCGGGAGGAGAAGGAGCGGCGGAGGUCCCAGGGCCUUUGUUUAUAUUGCGGUGGAACUGGUCACUUUGCCUACAACUGUCCAGUAAAAGGCCCAGCCCGGUAGUAAGUUCGAGGCUACUAUCGGGCGGGGUCUCAGCCGAAAGUCCUCAUCUACAUCUACGCUCCUCCCGGUGAGACUGAGGUGGUCAGCACAUCAUCAUGAUUGUCAAGCACUGGUGGAUUCAGGGGCAGAAGAUCGUUCUGGAUGUUCUAGAUGUCAGUGAGGUCUCGUGCUGUGUGUUCCUGUCUGCCGUGUUCCUGCUCUCGUGUUCGUGAUCGUGUUUUGGAUUUUGGAUUUGGAUUAUCACAGACUGGAGUUCACUGUUUUCACGCUGGCCACCUCAACUGCCUGUGUCACCCGCUCAGCUGUUCGCAUUGAUCAUAUUACUCUGUUUACAAUAAAACUCUUAACUUGCA